This 494-nucleotide ribosomal RNA is filed under the name uncultured bacterium. RNAcentral describes it as "partial 16S ribosomal RNA". It matches the Rfam family "Bacterial small subunit ribosomal RNA", at positions 28 to 507 of the family's 1533-position model. The record is from RNAcentral.
GACGAACACUGGCGGCGUGCUUAACACAUGCAAGUCGAACGGUGAAGCGCCUUCCUUUUUGGUGGGUGUGGAUGAGUGGCGAACGGGUGAGUAACACGUGAGUAACCUGCCCCCUUCUUCUGGAUAACCGCAUGAAAGUGUGGCUAAUACGGGAUAUUCUGGGUCUGUCGCAUGAUGGGUCUGGGAAAGAUAUUGUUUCGGUGGGGGAUGGGCUCGCGGCCUAUCAGCUUGUUGGUGGGGUGAUGGCCUACCAAGGCGGUGACGGGUAGCCGGCCUGAGAGGGUGGACGGUCACACUGGGACUGAGACACGGCCCAGACUCCUACGGGAGGCAGCAGUGGGGAAUAGUGCACAAUGGGCGCAAGCCUGAUGCAGCGACGCCGCGUGAGGGAUGGAGGCCUUCGGGUUGUGAACCUCUUUCGCCAGUGAAGCAGGCCUGCCUCGUUUGUGGGUGGGUUGACGGUAGCUGGAUAAGAAGCGCCGGCUAACUACGUG